AAAAAGGAUACAUGCAUCCAUUGAUGAAGAUUUGAUACAAAUAUAUGAAGGAAAAGUGUCUGAGGGUAUCUUUAAGUACAUUACAAAGGGACCAGAUUAUGUUAGAGCUUCGGUCCAAGGGGAUGAUACAGAUGAUACUAUUGACGAUGAGAUACAGAAGUUCCUUAGUUGCAGGUAUAUUUCAGCGUGUGAAGCAACUUGGAGAAUACUAGCUUUUCCUACGCAUUACCGAACAACCACAGUAGUUAAGCUUUCCUUCCAUUUACCUAAUCAGCAAAUGGCAAUUUAUAAUGAAGAUGACCCUAUUGAUGAUGUUUUAAAUCGUUCUGCGGUAUUGCGGUCAAAGUUUCUAGCAUGGAUGGAGGAGAACUGUAAAUAUCCGGAAGCAAGAGGUCUAACGUAUGCGGAAUUCCCCACAAGGUUCGUUUGGGUACAAAAGACGAGAGAGUGGAAGCCACGUGACAAAGGUUUUGCAAUAGGAAGGAUUACAUAUGUUCCACCUAAAUAUGUUAACUCAUAUUUCUUCCGUUCCUUAGUAAUAGACUUUUUAGAAAAAAAGUUUGUUUCAGAAAGAUGUAUUUUUUUGUGUUUUCUAUGAAAAAAUUGUAAACUUCAAGAAAAUUAAUUGAUUUUAUUGAAUUACUAUUAGUUAAAAGUUAUUAAAAUUAAAAAUUACAGAAAACAGUAUAGUUAUUAUGGUAAUUUAAUGUGUUUUCUUAAUAUGUGUGAAAAUACUAAAAAGUCUAUUUUUUAAAAAGAGAGAGAGAGAGUACUAUCUAAGAGUUUUGCUCAACAUAGUUAAAGGCCCAAGGAGUUAUGAAAAGAUACGUACAGUCAAAGGUAUUGUUUAUAAGACAUAUAUAAGGAUGCAAGUUAUGCAUUGGGAUUAUUGGAUGAUGAUAAAAAGUAUAUCGAAGCAAUUAACGAAGCCAGUUUAUGGGGAACAUGGAACUUUUUAAGAAAGCUAUUUGCUAUAAUGUUAUUUUCUAAUAGUAUGGCUAUGCCUGUUAAAGUUUGGAACGCAACAUGGAGAAUCUUGACAAAAGAUAUAUUACACAAAUUAAGAAAGGAAAAUAAUAACCAAAGUAAGUUAUGUUCUUCUUUGUUUAUUAUACGUGUGUGGUAUUUAACCCCUUUUUGUCUUUAGGUGUCUUGAGUCCACAGAAUGAAGAUGUCGACAAGAUCAAUGAAUAUAUGCUAUCUCAAAUAAAAGGUAAAUCUUUUGUCUGAUGUUUAUUUUGUGUGUUUUAGAAGAAGUAUUUGGUUUCAUGUCAAAUCAUUAAUGUUGAUUAUUUUCUAUUGAAUAUUUGAAUAGGUAAGGAGCGUUCGUAUCUCAGUUCAGAUAAUAUAGAUACUUCUGAUACAAGUAAAAUAGGUGAUAUGGUGUACACUCAAGAAUAUUUAAACAGCAUUAAGAUCUUUGGAUUACCAAAUCAUGAUCUAAAGUUGAAAAUCGGUGCACCUAUUAUGCUGCUUAGGAAUAUUGACCCUAAAGGUGGACUAUGCAAUGGUACAAGGUUACUUGUAACACAAUUAGCAAAUCACGUCAUUCAAGCCAAGUUUAUAACCGGUGAUAAAGUUGGCCAAAAAGUUUUGCUCCCAAGAAUGUUUGUUUCUCCACCAUAAACCAGAUUUCCGUUUAGGAUGAGACAGAGACAAUUUCCUGUUGCUCUUGCUUUUAGGACAUUAUUAUGAUGCAUCUUAACUGUUUAAUAUUCUCAAAAUCAUUGUGCCCGCGUCCACGCGGG
Molecule: long non-coding RNA, 1748 nt
Organism: Brassica napus (rape)
Lineage: Eukaryota; Viridiplantae; Streptophyta; Magnoliopsida; Brassicales; Brassicaceae
Exons: 2
Source: RefSeq, a predicted model, not a curated record